Molecule: ribosomal RNA, 468 nt
Filed under: uncultured bacterium
Lineage: Bacteria
Description: partial 16S ribosomal RNA
Rfam family: Bacterial small subunit ribosomal RNA
Source: RNAcentral
GACGAACGCUGGCGGCGUGCUUAACACAUGCAAGUCGAACGGAAAGGCCCUGCUUUUGUGGGGUGCUCGAGUGGCGAACGGGUGAGUAACACGUGAGUAACCUGCCCUUUACUUUGGGAUAACUUCAGGAAACUGGGGCUAAUACCGGAUAGUAGCUCCUGCUGCAUGGUGGGGGUUGGACAGUUUCGGCGGUUGGGGAUGGACUCGCGGCUUAUCAGCUUGUUGGUGGGGUAGUGGCUUACCAAGGCUUUGACGGGUAGCCGGCCUGAGAGGGUGACCGGCCACAUUGGGACUGAGAUACGGCCCAGACUCCUACGGGAGGCAGCAGUGGGGAAUAUUGCACAAUGGGCGGAAGCCUGAUGCAGCAACGCCGCGUGCGGGAUGACGGCCUUCGGGUUGUAAACCGCUUUCGCCUGUGACGAAGCGUGAGUGACGGUAAUGGGUAAAGAAGCACCGGCUAACUACGUG